UGAUGCGAUCAUACCAGCACUAAAGCACCGGAUCCCAUCAGAACUUUGAAGUUAAGCGUGCUUGGGCGAGAGUAGUACUAGGAUGGGUGACCUCCUGGGAAGUCCUCGUGUUGCAUUCC
RNAcentral lists this ribosomal RNA (119 nucleotides) under Aegilops tauschii subsp. strangulata. The record is from RNAcentral. Lineage: Eukaryota; Viridiplantae; Streptophyta; Magnoliopsida; Poales; Poaceae.